RNAcentral lists this long non-coding RNA (353 nucleotides) under Coturnix japonica (Japanese quail). RNAcentral describes it as "lncRNA (ENSCJPG00005018345.1)". Lineage: Eukaryota; Metazoa; Chordata; Aves; Galliformes; Phasianidae. The record is from RNAcentral.
AUGGACUUCAAAACUCACAUUGUUCUAAACGGUGUGAGAAUUUCAGCAGAAAUGAAAAAGACAGCAGGGACCAGAGUCACUGCAAAGGUAUUACAACACUGUGCAAAGAAACACAAGACAAGAGGCCAUCUUACUCCUUUAGAAGAGUUUGAAAAUUUGACUGUGUCUUGGCCAGCACUGAGAAAAAAAAGUGCAAUAAAAGGAUUCUGUUAAAAUCUGCAGAAGCUGAGAUCCAGCCAAAAGCAAGGCAGCAUGAAAAUAAGUGCCUGCUCAUGAAGGAUGUGUGACAUAGAUGACCUCAGAUAUUUGCAGUCAUCCAGUCUGGAGAGGUAAUAAAAAAGUACUGUUUUUCA